RNAcentral lists this transfer RNA (85 nucleotides) under Victivallales bacterium. RNAcentral's name for it is "tRNA-Leu". It matches the Rfam family "tRNA". Rfam says of the family: Transfer RNA (tRNA) molecules are approximately 80 nucleotides in length. Their secondary structure includes four short double-helical elements and three loops (D, anti-codon, and T loops). Further hydrogen bonds mediate the characteristic L-shaped molecular structure. tRNAs have two regions of fundamental functional importance: the anti-codon, which is responsible for specific mRNA codon recognition, and the 3' end, to which the tRNAs corresponding amino acid is attached (by aminoacyl-tRNA synthetases). tRNAs cope with the degeneracy of the genetic code in two manners: having more than one tRNA (with a specific anti-codon) for a particular amino acid; and 'wobble' base-pairing, i.e. permitting non-standard base-pairing at the 3rd anti-codon position. The record is from RNAcentral. Lineage: Bacteria; Pseudomonadati; Lentisphaerota; Lentisphaeria; Victivallales.
GCGAGAGUGGCGGAACUGGCAGACGCGUUGGAUUUAGGUUCCAAUUCCGAGAGGAGUGUGGGUUCGAGUCCCAUCUCUCGUACCA